This 351-nucleotide ribosomal RNA is filed under the name uncultured bacterium. RNAcentral's name for it is "partial 16S ribosomal RNA". It matches the Rfam family "Bacterial small subunit ribosomal RNA", at positions 338 to 706 of the family's 1533-position model. The record is from RNAcentral.
CCUACGGGUGGCAGCAGUAGGGAAUAUUGCUCAAUGGGGGAAACUCUGAAGCAGCAACGCCGCGUGGAGGAUGAAGGUUUUAGGAUUGUAAACUCCUUUUGUGAGAGAAGAUAAUGACGGUAUCUCACGAAUAAGCACCGGCUAACCCCGUGACAGCAGGCGCGGUAAUACGGAGGGUGCCAGCGUUACUCGGAAGCACUGGGCGUAAAGAGUACGCAGGCGGGCUUGUAAGUCAGUUGGGAAAUUCUGGAGCUUAACUGCAGAACUGCAUUUGAAACUGUGAGUCUAGAGUGGUGGAGAGGUAGGUGGAAUUCCUGGGGGAGGGGUGAAAUCCGUAGAUAUCAAGAAGAA